UUCCGGUUGAUCCUGCCGGAGGCGACCGCUUUGGGAGUUCGAUUAAGCCAUGCGAGUCGUGAGUCUUAGGGACUCGGCAUACUGCUCGGUAACACGUGGAUAACCUGCCCUAUCGUCUGGAAUAACCUCGGGAAACUGAGAAUAAGGCCGGAUAGUUCACAAUGCCUGGAACGGUUUGUGAAUCAAGGUAGGAUGGGUCUGCGGCGUAUCAGGUUGUAGGGGGUGUAAAGGACCCCCUAGCCUUCGACGCGUACGGGUGUUGGGAGACAUAGCCCGGAGAUGGAUUCUGAGACACGAAUCCAGACCCUACGGGGUGCAGCAGGCGCGAAAACUUCACACUGCAGGAAACUGUGAUGAGGGAACUCCUAGUGCAUGCACUAUGUGUAUGUAGAUCCUACUCUUAACAAGUAGAGGGAAAGGGCUGGGAAAGACCGGUGCCAGCCGCCGCGGUAAUACCGGCAGCUCAAGUGGUCGUCGCUUUUAUUGGGCCUAAAACGUCCGUAGCCUGUUUGGUAAAUCUGUGGGUAAAUCAAUCCGCUCAACGGAUUGAAUUCUGCAGAGACUGCCAGACUAGGGACCGGGAGAGGUGUGGGGUACUCGAGGGGUAGGGGUAAAAUCCUGUCAUCCUUCGAGGACCACCAGUUGCGAAGGCGCCACACUGGAACGGAUCCGACGGUCAGGGACGAAGCCUAGGGGCACGAACCGGAUUAGAUACCCGGGUAGUCCUAGGUGUAAACGCUGUGAACUUGGUGUCGGGGGUCCGCAAGGGGUCCCCGGUGCCGGAGUGAAGAUGUUAAGUUCACUGCCUGGGGAGUACGGUCGCAAGGCUGAAACUUAAAGGAAUUGGCGGGGCAGCAC
This 858-nucleotide ribosomal RNA is filed under the name uncultured euryarchaeote. RNAcentral describes it as "bacterial SSU rRNA". It matches the Rfam family "Archaeal small subunit ribosomal RNA", at positions 1 to 879 of the family's 1478-position model. The record is from RNAcentral. Lineage: Archaea; Methanobacteriati; Methanobacteriota.